AACGAACGCUGGCGGCAUGCCUAACACAUGCAAGUCGAACGAGGCCUUCGGGUCUAGUGGCGCACGGGUGCGUAACGCGUGGGAACCUGCCCUUAGGUUCGGAAUAACUCCCCGAAAGGGGUGCUAAUACCGGAUAAUGUCUUCGGACCAAAGAUUUAUCGCCUUUGGAUGGGCCCGAGUUGGAUUAGCUAGUUGGUAGGGUAAAAGCCUACCAAGGCGACGAUCCAUAGCUGGUCUGAGAGGAUGAUCAGCCACACUGGGACUGAGACACGGCCCAGACUCCUACGGGAGGCAGCAGUGGGGAAUAUUGGACAAUGGGCGAAAGCCUGAUCCAGCAAUGCCGCGUGAGUGAUGAAGGCCUUAGGGUUGUAAAGCUCUUUUACCCGGGAUGAUAAUGACAGUACCGGGAGAAUAAGCUCCGGCUAACUCCGUG
This 433-nucleotide ribosomal RNA is filed under the name uncultured bacterium. RNAcentral describes it as "partial 16S ribosomal RNA". It matches the Rfam family "Bacterial small subunit ribosomal RNA", at positions 29 to 507 of the family's 1533-position model. The record is from RNAcentral.